CAGCAGUAGCCACGGUAAUACAGAGGGUGCGAGCGUUAAUCGGAUUUACUGGGCGUAAAGCGUGCGUAGGCGGCUUCUUAAGUCGGAUGUGAAAUCCCUGAGCUUAACUUAGGAAUUGCAUUCGAUACUGGGAAGCUAGAGUAUGGGAGAGGAUGGUAGAAUUCCAGGUGUAGCGGUGAAAUGCGUAGAGAUCUGGAGGAAUACCCAUGGCGAAGGCAGCCAUCUGGCCUAAUACUGACGCUGAGGUACGAAAGCAUGGGGAGCAAACAGGAUUAGAUACCCCUGUAGUCCCUGUCUCUUAUAC
This 304-nucleotide ribosomal RNA is filed under the name uncultured bacterium. Its description in RNAcentral is "partial 16S ribosomal RNA". It matches the Rfam family "Bacterial small subunit ribosomal RNA", at positions 506 to 807 of the family's 1533-position model. The record is from RNAcentral.